GAAAUAAGACGCCGUCCCUGCCCUCGGGAACUCCCGGCGCAUCUGCCCCAACAACUCACUGAAGCCGCCUGCAGGACGCCUGAGUGAGGACAAGGUGUCUCACUCAGAAAAUUUGCUUGAUUCUUCCUGGCAAGUGGGACAGGGUGAGCUGUCUGCUGGGACUGAGCGCUUUUCCGCACUCCACUCCCGGAAAUCACACCUCCGCAUGUGAGAUGACAUUCUGGGCCAGUAAGAGCUCGUUCUUCAGGAUGCCUCCAGCCACUGCGCACAACACGCACCCAGGGUUUUCCUUGAAUUUAUGUGGAAUCCAUUUUCUGGGUUCUUUCCUGCUGCCAAGUUCUAUUUCAGGAUCAUGGCUCAGACAAGAAACAGCUACCGUGUACCUCAAAUUCAGCUGUGUGGGGUUUGAAUCGUGCACCACUCUGGUUAUGUACCAGCAGCAUCAAUGCAUGGCCAUCUGGCUGCUGUGAGACAACCCCUUCCCAAGAGUAGUUACCACUCCAUGUACUCGCUGAAUGCCUUGUU
RNAcentral lists this long non-coding RNA (525 nucleotides) under Pan troglodytes (chimpanzee). RNAcentral's name for it is "long non-coding RNA NONPTRT007331". The record is from RNAcentral. Lineage: Eukaryota; Metazoa; Chordata; Mammalia; Primates; Hominidae.